Molecule: ribosomal RNA, 928 nt
Filed under: uncultured bacterium
Lineage: Bacteria
Description: bacterial SSU rRNA
Rfam family: Bacterial small subunit ribosomal RNA
Source: RNAcentral
UCAGUGGCGCAAGGGUGAGUAAUACAUGGAUAACGUACCCCGAACUCUGGGAUAACGGCGGGCCCGCAAGGGUCCUUUGCGAAAGUGCCGCUAAUACCGGAUGAAGCCGCUGGGCCGCAUGGCCCGGCGAUCAAAGACGGCCGCAAGGCUGUCGGUUUGGGCGCGGUCCAUGCCCUAUCAGCUAGUUGGUGAGGUAAUGGCUCACCAAGGCUUUGACGGGUAGCGGGAUUGAGAGAUCGGUCCGCCACAUCGGAACUGAGACACUGUCCGGACACCUACGGGUGGCUGCAGUCACGAAUCUUGGGCAAUGGGCGCAAGCCUGACCCAGCAAUGCCGUGUGCAGGAGGAAGUCCUUCGGGAUGUAAACUGCUGUCAGGGGCUAGCAAGCAACCCCGGUGAAUAAUCGGGGAAGUUGAGCCGCCUCGGAGGAAGCCAUGACUAACUCUGUGCCAGCAGUCGCGGUAAUACAGAGAUGGCAAGCGUUAUUCGGAAUCACUGGGCUUAAAGCGCACGUAGGCGGCCCGGCAAGUGUCGUGUGAAAUCCCACUGCUCAACGGUGGAACGGCACGGCAAACUGCCGGGCUUGAGGUUCGUAGAGGUGCCUGGAACUCUAGGUGUAGCGGUGAAAUGCGUAGAUAUCUAGAGGAACGCCAGAGGCGAAAGCGGGGCACCAAGCGAAUUCUGACGCUGAUGUGCGAAAGCGUGGGGAGCAAACAGGAUUAGAUACCCUGGUAGUCCACGCCGUAAACGAUGCACACUAGAUUCGGGCGUCUCUGACGGCCUCCGAGUCGAAGCAAAAGUGCUAAGUGUGCCGCCUGGGGAGUACGGCCGCAAGGCUAAAACUCAAAGGAAUUGACGGGGGCUCACACAAGCGGUGGAGCAUGUGGCUUAAUUCGAAGCAACGCGAAGAACCUUACCUAGGUUUGAC